GCUCAGUUAGUUAAGCAUCUGACUACUGGUUUCAACUCAGUUCAUGAUCUCAGGGUGUGAGAUCGAAUCCCACAUUGGGCU
This 81-nucleotide transfer RNA is filed under the name Ailuropoda melanoleuca (giant panda). It matches the Rfam family "tRNA". From Rfam's summary of the family: Transfer RNA (tRNA) molecules are approximately 80 nucleotides in length. Their secondary structure includes four short double-helical elements and three loops (D, anti-codon, and T loops). The record is from Rfam by way of RNAcentral. Lineage: Eukaryota; Metazoa; Chordata; Mammalia; Carnivora; Ursidae.